RNAcentral lists this long non-coding RNA (1201 nucleotides) under Salmo salar (Atlantic salmon). Its description in RNAcentral is "lncRNA (ENSSSAG00000119877.1)". The record is from RNAcentral. Lineage: Eukaryota; Metazoa; Chordata; Actinopteri; Salmoniformes; Salmonidae.
CUUUUUUGAAAUCUGACAAAGCGAUUACAUUUAGGAAAAGUAUAUCUAUAAUUCUGUGCAUAACACUUCUAUAUUGAUCAAACAUUUUGAUGAGUAUUUCUGUAAUAUGUAUGCUCAUUGUGCAGAUUCACAGGAAGGUUUGGAGGGAAAACAUUUCUCAACAUUAAGCGCCAAUGUAAAAUGCUGUUUUUGGAUAUAAAUAUGAACUUUAUCGAGCAAAACAUACAUGUAUUUUGUAACAUAAUGUCCUAGGAGUGUCAUCUGAUGAAGAUCGUCAAAGCUCCAACUGAGAUUCAGGUUCCUCUGAACAAGACCACCACCAGGGGACGUGAGCGAAGAGAGAAGGUACAGUCAGACAGGAGAAAGGAGACCUGUGUUACGCUUCGUUGGAUAUCCGUCAGGGACAGAGGAGACCAAAGAGGAAGACAAAAGCCCAGAACUCUGACUUCAGUACCUACACAGCCAUCAAUACCCUCAGAGUGGGAGGUCUAUACCAUCCAUCAAUACCAGCAAAGUGAGACCUAUACCAUCGAUCAAUACCAGCAGAGUGAGACCUAUACCAGCCAUCAAUUACAGCAGAGUGAGACCUGUACCAGCCAUCAAUACCAGCAGAGUGUGAGACCUGUACCAGCCAUCAAUACCAGCAGAGUGAGACCUAUACCAUCCAUCCCAGCAGAGUGUGAGACAUUUACAUUUUAGUCAUUUAGCAGACGCUCUUAUCCAGAGCAACUUACAGUAGUGAAUGCAUACAUUUCAUAAAUUUUUUUCCAUACUGGUCCCCAUGGGAAUCGAACCCACAACCCUGGCGUUGCAAACACCAUGCCCUACCAACUGAGCCACACGGGACCUAUACCAUCCAUCAAUACCAGCAGAGUGUGAGACCUAUACCAUCCAUCAAUAGCAGUAUAGAGUGAGUUCUAUACCAACAUUGCUUGAGGACAAGGUGUGACAAGAAUAAUUUUGAUAUUUUCAAGAUUUACUUAAUUUUUUGAGGAAUAUUUUUGUACGUUUUAAACCCUUUCAUACAAAUGAUUUAUGAUUUAACUUUUGUCUGUAACCUUUUCAUAAUAAUAACAAUUGUGAUUUAGAUAAUGAUGUUAAGAUAAUGAUGUUAAGAUCAGGGAAUAAUGGUUAAAUUGCUCUUGUUAAAGUCUUAGUUUGUAAUUGUAGGUGUGAAACUUCAUUGUUUUCCAUUUGUAAG